UCUAUACUAUGUGAAUCAUCGAAUCUUUGAACGCACUUUGCACCUCGCGGCUCCUGUCACGAGGUAUACUUGUUUGAGCAUCCGUAACCUCUCACCUCUCCCUCGGGGCGGUGGACGCUGAGAUUCGACGAGCAGCAGCGAGUCGUCUCUUGAAAGCCAUGGCCUGCUCGUGGAAGGUCUCCACUCUGACCUGACCGACCAUUUGGAUAAUGUCCUACAAUUGUCGGCUCGGUGUCAAUAUGCGUGUUGACCGACCUUGGCCACCCUGAUCAAUGAGCUCCAGCACCACGCUGCGGCUUUGCGAUCAAUUACCUUGUAACUGGAUCUCAAAUCAAGUAAGGAUACCCGCUGAACUUAAGCAUAUCAAUAAGCGGAGG
RNAcentral lists this ribosomal RNA (377 nucleotides) under uncultured Mortierellales. RNAcentral describes it as "eukaryotic LSU rRNA". The stretch from base 322 to 377 matches the Rfam family "Eukaryotic large subunit ribosomal RNA", at positions 1 to 56 of the family's 3401-position model. Lineage: Eukaryota; Fungi; Mortierellomycota; Mortierellomycetes; Mortierellales. The record is from RNAcentral.